CGUUUCUUAUGGCAAGCCGUUCUCGUCAAAACUAUGUUUAAACUAUUUUUCGAAAAAUUUACACACUGAGAAUUACAAAAAAGCACACUGAGAUUUAAAAACUUCAAUACGCACACUGAGAAUUGAAAAUUACACACUGAGAAUUGAAAAUUACACACUGAGAAUUAAAAAUUACACACUGAGAUUUCAUAAAGACGCACUGAGAUUACAAAAAUGAAAAAUGCACACUGAGAAUUGAAUAUUACACACUGAGAAUUGAAAAUUACACACUGAGAUUUCAAAAAGACACACUGAGAAUAAAUAAACUGAAAACACACACUGAGAAUUUGAAAAUUACACACUGAGAAUUUGAAAUUACACACUGAGAAUUUAAAAUUACACACUGAGAUUUGUGCGCACUUUUUAUGCGCACAUAUCUAAUUAGCAUACUUAAUCUGAAUCUAUUACAAGCUUAAAACAACAAGGGGAAAGAACUCGUUAGUCGUUCGAUUUGGUUCCAAAUUAUUAAUAAAAAAAACUUUAGAAAUACAAGAACAAGAAAAAAUACCCACUUACUCUUUAUUACAAAAUAUAACCAAAUGGUGAAAAACUUUAUUAAAAUUAUAAGAAAACAUUGGAACAAUCUGCAAAAGAAUGCAGUGAAAUUUUUACCCAAGUGUCUAUUAUAGCAUAUAAACGUAACAAAAAUAUAAAAGAUUAACUAGCGAAAUCAAGGAAACUGUUGGAAGACUUUUGAAAAGAGACCCAUGUUUAAUUACUGGUAGUAGUAAUGAUCUGAAUUAUAGGCAACAAACUUAUGAAUAUGAGCGAUGUUAAGUCUUGAAAUUUAAUACGAAUGUUGGUUGAAGGAAUCGCAUUUCAUUAUAAUGACAAGAGUUCUUGAGAUCAAGAUAUUAAUCUGUUGAAUUAUUCAUCUCAUGAAUAUUCAUUAGUAAUUUGCAUAUUAAUCUCAGUGUGUAUUUUUGAAAUCUCAGUGUGUAAUUAACAAUUCUCAGUGUGUGUUUUUCAAUUUAUUUCAUCUCAGUGUGUCUUUUUAAAAUCUCAGUGUGUAAUUUUGAAUUCUCAGUGUGUGUUUUUUAUUUUUUUAAAUCUCAGUGUGUAAUUUCGAUUUCUCAGUGUGUUAUUUUAGGUUUUUAAAUCUCAGUGUGUAUUUUUGUCGAAAAAAGGGUUUAAACAUAGUUUUGACGAGAACGGCUUGCCAUAGUUUC
RNAcentral lists this long non-coding RNA (1208 nucleotides) under Mytilus galloprovincialis (Mediterranean mussel). Lineage: Eukaryota; Metazoa; Mollusca; Bivalvia; Mytilida; Mytilidae. The record is from RNAcentral.